GGGGAUAUGACUUGGUUGGUAGAGUGUUUGCCUUGCAUGCCCAAGGCCCUGGGUUCAAUCCCCAGCACCCCCC
RNAcentral lists this transfer RNA (73 nucleotides) under Marmota monax (woodchuck). It matches the Rfam family "tRNA". From Rfam's summary of the family: Transfer RNA (tRNA) molecules are approximately 80 nucleotides in length. The record is from Rfam by way of RNAcentral. Lineage: Eukaryota; Metazoa; Chordata; Mammalia; Rodentia; Sciuridae.